GGGUUGUGAGGUUAAGCGACUAAGCGUACACGGUGGAUGCCCUGGCAGUCAGAGGCGAUGAAGGGCGUGCUAAUCUGCGAUAAGCGCCGGUAAGGUGAUAUGAACCGUUAUAACCGGCGAUACCCGAAUGGGGAAACCCAGUGUGAUUCGUCACACUAUCAUUAACUGAAUCCAUAGGUUAAUGAGGCGAACCGGGGGAACUGAAACAUCUAAGUACCCCGAGGAAAAGAAAUCAACCGAGAUUCCCCCAGUAGCGGCGAGCGAACGGGGAGGAGCCCAGAGCCUGAAUCAGCAUGUGUGUUAGUGGAAGCGUCUGGAAAGGCGCGCGAUACAGGGUGACAGCCCCGUACACAAAAGCGCAUGUGCUGUGAGCUCGAUGAGUAGGGCGGGACACGUGGUAUCCUGUCUGAAUAUGGGGGGACCAUCCUCCAAGGCUAAAUACUCCUGACUGACCGAUAGUGAACCAGUACCGUGAGGGAAAGGCGAAAAGAACCCCGGCGAGGGGAGUGAAAAAGAACCUGAAACCGUGUACGUACAAGCAGUGGGAGCACAGGUUUACCUGUGUGACUGCGUACCUUUUGUAUAAUGGGUCAGCGACUUAUAUUCUGUAGCAAGGUUAACCGUAUAGGGGAGCCGGAGGGAAACCGAGUCUUAAUUGGGCGUUAAGUUGCAGGGUAUAGACCCGAAACCCGGUGAUCUAGCCAUGGGCAGGUUGAAGGUUGGGUAACACUAACUGGAGGACCGAACCGACUAAUGUUGAAAAAUUAGCGGAUGACCUGUGGCUGGGGGUGAAAGGCCAAUCAAACCGGGAGAUAGCUGGUUCUCCCCGAAAGCUAUUUAGGUAGCGCCUCGUGAAUUCAUCUCCGGGGGUAGAGCACUGUUUCGGCUAGGGGGCCAUCCCGGCUUACCAACCCGAUGCAAACUGCGAAUACCGGAGAAUGUUAUCACGGGAGACACACGGCGGGUGCUAACGUCCGUCGUGAAGAGGGAAACAACCCAGACCGCCAGCUAAGGUCCCAAAGUCAUGGUUAAGUGGGAAACGAUGUGGGAAGGCCCAGACAGCCAGGAUGUUGGCUUAGAAGCAGCCAUCAUUUAAAGAAAGCGUAAUAGCUCACUGGUCGAGUCGGCCUGCGCGGAAGAUGUAACGGGGCUAAACCAUGCACCGAAGCUGCGGCAGCGACGCUUAUGCGUUGUUGGGUAGGGGAGCGUUCUGUAAGCCUGUGAAGGUGUGUCGUGAGGCAUGCUGGAGGUAUCAGAAGUGC
RNAcentral lists this ribosomal RNA (1262 nucleotides) under Salmonella enterica subsp. enterica serovar Berta str. SA20103550. RNAcentral describes it as "bacterial LSU rRNA". It matches the Rfam family "Bacterial large subunit ribosomal RNA", at positions 1 to 1291 of the family's 2925-position model. Lineage: Bacteria; Pseudomonadati; Pseudomonadota; Gammaproteobacteria; Enterobacterales; Enterobacteriaceae. The record is from RNAcentral.